AUUCUUCUGCUUAAGCAUCCUGAGUGCUGACAUUAUACAGAUUACAGGCAUGUGCCACCAUGCCCAGCUGGUAAAGCCACUUUAUAUAGAAUAUUGCCCCAAAUUUCAUAAAAAUAUCUGGAGUGUCCAUUUUAUAAAUGAACACGACUCAUUGUACAAUCACACACAGCAGCACAAGAUGACACUAUACUCACUUAAAAAUUGGGGUCACCCACGGUAAAAAAAAGGCAGUCAGCACCUGUGGGAAGUAGCUGUCCUGGUAGAGAACAAACCGAGGUUAAGUACUGUGGCAAGUAAGUUAAAACCAUGAAUUCGAUUUCUCCUUGCUAAGAGAUCUGUUAUAGGUCUUCACCUUUCUUUCCCAGAGAAAGGACAAUAUAACCUCCUUCAACUCCUGCGGCUUCCAUCCUUCCAAGCCGUGCUGUCAGCCUCGCUCCUGCCUCCCCAUUCUUCCCCCAGGCCAUAAUUCCACAACAUCUGACUCAAGUGAUCUCUUCCACAUGGGGUCACAAUUAAAUACUAAGGAGCCGGUGUCCAAGUACAGGGGCAAAGGGACCCUGGCGCCACAGGCUGCAAGCUGUCGGCUCCUUCCCGCCCCCAAUCCCGCGGCACCCACCCGGGCUGAUUUUGGGGAUCCACGUGCGCCCCGCGAGCCCUCCAGCGCGCCCGUGGAAAGAGGCUAUGUAAAGGUAAGGAAACCCUCCCGCCAAGCCCAUUGCACCCGAGAAGGCGGGACGCCGCAGGAAGUGGCCGACGGCGGAAGUCCGCCCCCCCUCCUACACUUCCUCUCUAGGCGGAUGGAGGAUUCCUCAUCUUCAUGGUUUGAGGCUCGCUGGUGCCAGGCCCGACGCUGGAGGGCGUGACACUUCUUCCUGGACCCUGUUCAUACCAUGUGCACCUGGCAACACUGCCCGCGGAGGAUCGGAAAUUGCUCUUUUUUUUUUUUU
Molecule: long non-coding RNA, 947 nt
Filed under: Chinchilla lanigera (long-tailed chinchilla)
Lineage: Eukaryota; Metazoa; Chordata; Mammalia; Rodentia; Chinchillidae
Description: lncRNA (ENSCLAG00000026987.1)
Source: RNAcentral